Molecule: non-coding RNA, 6855 nt
Organism: Pelodiscus sinensis (Chinese soft-shelled turtle)
Lineage: Eukaryota; Metazoa; Chordata; Testudines; Trionychidae
Source: RefSeq, a predicted model, not a curated record
CCGGCGUCUACCUUCCGAGUUCCUGAGAAGGCCGCGAGUGGAGGAGCCUUGCGCGAGCCGGGUUCCCAUUUCGCUUCAGCGGGACCCUAUAAUCCCCCUUAACUCCAGCUGAGGCUGCGUGCUGGCUCCCAGGCUGAGCAGCGGAGGAGCUGCGCAGCACAGGCCGCCUUGGGCAAGCGGCCACUUUCGGAGUCAGAGUAAGAAGACCUGAAAAAAGGGAACAGUGGAGCAUGGUACUUAAUUCACAUGGAUUGGGAGUAGUGGAGAGAGAAGAAUAGUUGGUGCUGCAUGAGCCAAAAGGAACCACAUUUAUAAAUAUACUACACUACUUUGAGGAUGGGAUUUUCAAAAGAGCACGAUUACAAUUGAAAGUCAAUGGGUGAUGCUCCUCCAUCUUCUAAUUUUACUGCUCCAUUGACAAAGUUAGCUGCAAUUUUAAAGCAGGGAAAGUUAAAGUACAGGUAAAAUGCUAUGUGCCUUUGUAAAAUGCAAAACAAAAAGUUAGAAUGAAAACCUAAAAAUGUCAUACAACAAAUUCCAUGCUUAUGGUAGGUACAGCUCUGGGACCUCCUAGCAUUCUUCUCACUGGUUUAACAAACAAAUGUAAGCAGAGUAAAAACCCUGGAAGUUGCUAUACACUUGCCUGCAGUAGGGGCUCCCUUUUGCACUAAUACCAGUAAAUUUUCUUUAGUAAUGUUUUAACAAAGAUUAAAGGCAUAGGCCACAAUUCCAGAAAGCAUUUAAGCACAUGCUUAAGUCUGUCUCUUAGUAUGUUGUUGCUCAGAGCUAUAGCAUUUGCAAAAAUUGUGUCAGUAGAGCACUGGAACAAGAAAGAUAAUGUUUUGAAGGACUUCUAGAAUACUCACUUCCUAAUUCCCUCAUUCCCUUUGCCAAUGGAGGUUGGAACCCAAAGAUUUUUCUGUAUUAUAGUUAUGCGUGAACUGUCAAUAAUAACACAAUAGAAGUCUACGGUAACCUAAAAUAUUUGUCUCGCAGAAUAGUUCCCUCUAAUCUGCAGGCCUACAGAAGAAAUUUCUACCCCACCCACCUCCUAAGCAGAGCUGCACAGCGGUGUGGUGGGAGACAAGUGGCAGGUAGGCAGCUGCUCCGGCGGCUGGGCUCCGAGGAACUGCAUGGCAGACGGGUGGCUGCUCCAGCCACCUGGCACCAGAGGAACCAUGUGGUGGGUAGGCAAGCAGCUGCUGCAGCCAUCCAGAGGAAGCAUGUGGUAGGCGGGUUGCUGCCACCAGGGGUUGGGGCCACAGGUGGGCGGGUAGGGUCCCUGUCACUGGGGUUUGGGGCUGUGGGCAGGCAAUUUGCUACCACUGGGGGUUGGAGCCGUGGGUUGGAGGGUUGCUGCUGUUGUGGGUUGGGGUUGAAGGGAUUCUUCAUUCCUAUUAUUAAAAUAGAGAACUGAAAGGUACCAAAAAUUGAAAUUAUCAGAGUUGAGAACAGAUACUGGAUGUUAAGCCCUCUUGCUGUAUAUGCUGGAUGAAUGGAUCACUACCCAAGAAUCCAUGGCAUAAGCAAAUCUGAAGGUCAAGUCUACACUGGCAAGUUACUAUGUAGUAAACUUAGUAACUUUACAGUCCCCAACACUGUAACUUUGGCACGGUCCACACUGGGACCACCUCCAUGAGAAACACAGCGUUUGUUGUGCUCUGAAUAGUGUACUGGGGUGCCAGCAUGGGCACCUGACUGGCCUCUGGCAACCUACUUACAAUGCCUGAUCUGGAUUCUGUGGUCAUGUGUUUCAACUCCACUGCACUGCUCGGGUGACCAACCAGAUGACCAGGACCUGCCCUUGUGUUCUUUUUUAAAUCUGAAAGUUCCUCUCCUGUUUACUCGAUGACGUGUGGUGUGUUCUCAGCACAUAUCUUCAGAUGACCAUGCCUGCUUAAGAUUCUUGUCUUGGAGCCAGACUGAGGUGCUAGAUGUCAUCAGCAUUUGGGAAAAGGAGGCAGUCCAGUCCCAGCUGCACUCCAGCUGUAAGAAUUACAAUAUCUAUGGGCACAUCUCUAGGUGUAUGACUGAAAGGGGCCAUGACCAGGACUCACUGCAGUGUAGGGUCAAAGUGAAGGAACUGUGUGCAGGAAUAUUUGGAGGUGACCCCACCUCCACUCCGAAGACUCCCAUAGAUACCUCGGAGGCUUCCAGCAGUGGACUGAGACGGAAGAAGGAAGUUGUGGCAGAGUGUGCUGAGGGAGAGAAGGAUCCAGAGCCAGAAGAGGAGUUGGCAUUCUUGGGAGACUUGUUGUCAAGAGCAGUUUUGUACCACUGAGGAGGCGAGCUACUUGUUGCCCUCAGAGCGGCAGAUGAUGCUACUGGUAAGUGGUCAUUCAAGCAGCUUGCUGAGAGCGGGAGGGUUACAGAAAGGAGGCUGGGUUCGGUGUGAUGCUGCUACCAGAAGAGAGUCGGUGAUAUGGUGAACAGACUGUUGACACAAUCGUACAUCUUGGUAAUCUGCCUGAAAGACCUCAUCAAAAGCUUCAUGCAGCUGCUGUGCCACUCUUCUCCUCAGAUUAGCUGGCAGAGCAAACAUAUUUGACCUUGAAGGUUGAUGUUCCCUCACCACUGUACCGUCAACUGGGGAGGAGAGACUAUCGCUGCACAAAGACAAGCUGCAUACGGUCCCAGACAGAACCAAAACUUGAGUAAAAGACCCUCUUUUGCUUUUCUGCUCACCGUAAGCAACAAAAUGUCUUCCAGGGUUAACAUAGCCUGUGGAAAUGAAUGGCCAUUACUAAAACCUUCACUCCCUCCUCCCCCUGCAAUGUUCUCCCCAAUUCACACCUGCCCAGAACAUAUCACAACCAGAAGCAAAUGAAAACCCCUGCUCCCCAGUACCCUGUGCAGCUACAUCAAGAGAUUCUAUGACAAGGGGUUCCCCUGCCCUUUCCCCUUCCCAGCUGCAUGAAGGGAUACUUCCACCCAUGCCACCAUAGCAAGGGUUUUCCCUGGCUCUUUCCCAACUGCACAAAGGAUUUCCCUGAGUGCCCUUAGUGAUGAACUCACCACACCAUUGAGAGGUUCCUGAUGUUAUGUAUGUUUGCUCUGGGACAGGUAGUGUUAGGCAUGUGGACAGUGCAAGUAUUUCAAAGGGGUUGGGGGCAAUGCUGUGUCUAGUGUUAACAAUGGGUCUUCUGUGACAUGUUGCAAUUUUGUCCUUGAUAGGGCCAGCCUCAGGUCUCAGGAAGUUCUAACACCUGCAGAGGUCUGAGAUGGGCUUGGAAGCACCCAAGAGAGACUUGAGAGGUGUUUUUGCGAGACAUCCUGAGCCAUGCAGAUGCCAAACUAAAAAAAAAAAUAGCAGACAUGAAAGGACAAUGACAGGAGGUGUUGGAGGCAAAGGAGGAGCAAGGAAAGAGUUAAAAUGGAUGUUCUCUUUCUCACCUGUUAAUGUUAUUUGGUUCCCUAAAGUGUUAAAGUGUUAUCUGUUAACCCCCUAUCUCUUCACUGAGUGAGCACAGAAGAAUGUUUGAGGUGGACACAAGAGGUGGGAAAACUCUGAGGUAAAUAGCAGGAGUAAACAACAGUGCUCACGGCCCCAAGAGGCCCAGAGACUCAGAAGCUUCACGUGACUGAUCAUUAAAGGAGAGAGGGACGCAGACACAGGUUGUUGGUUGACCAUCAAGUGGAGCCUCCCAGAGAAUGCCCUUUGCUCUGAUCACCUAGCCAGCCAGCUCAGGAGUCAACAUGGGAAGAUCAUAUACUGCCUUCUGCUUGCCUUAUCAUCCUGCCUGGGACUGUAAGUGUGGUUGAGUGUAUGAGUGAAAUCCCUCCCCCUUCCCAGUCUGAACUUAAUAAACAAACCCUUUACGCUCCUAUGUGGUGAUCCCCUCUCCUUAGUAUUCAAAGCAGUUGCAAUCCACAUCCCCUUGCAACAAGAGGGCGUGGAAGGAGAGCACAGAAUGGCUCCUAAGCAUUAUGGAGUGGCAAGUGAACACACUGGAGGCACUGCUAACACUGCAGAUGGAGCAGAUAUGCAACUUGCCCACCCUGCAGCCUGUGUCCCAAAACUUUUCUAAUACCACCCCAAUGCAAUUUGGGCACCUCUUUGUCCCUGGAUGCCACACACCACACCUGCCCACUCGAUCAGGCUCCCAAAGGCUGCGAUGCUGUCAAUGCCAAUCCAUAUGCAGCUUACCCCUGAUGAAUUGCAGCCCUCUUUCCACAGCACAUCAGAUGGCAGGGCUGAGUAUGAGCCAUGAACAUAUACAAACCUAUGAUUCUUAGGGCAUGCCUCACUUCCUACCUCCCCCUGUAAUACCUCCGUCUCCCACAGUGCUGAUGUGUGUUUCAUGGUUCACAGGUGUCCUAUGUUUACCUUGUGUGUAAUAAAUCAAUGUGUUUCAAAGAAAUCUUUAUUCCAUUACAUGAAAGCAAGCAAACAAAUGUCUCCAGCAAAGCUAUGGUCACUGUGGGGCAAAGUCCAGUGCACGAACCAAUGACAAGUAACCCACUAGCAAUGAUGCCACUGCACUCCCAUGAAUAGCAACAAGUUUUACUGACUUUCAGCAUAAAAUUGCUGUCUCGAGGCAUCCCUGAUUCUUAUGAUCCUGCGCUGUGCUCCUCUACCAGACCUGGUCUUAGGCUGUUCAAACUCAGCCUCCAGGUGCUGUGCCUCAGCAGUUCAGCCCUUAGGAAAGCUUUCACCCUUCCUUUCACAAAUAUUACGAAGGAUACAGCACAAAGUAGUAACCACAGGGAUACCAUAAUUGGCGAAGUCCAGUUUCCCAUACAAACUUUGCUAGCAACCCUUCAAAUGGCCAACAGCACACACUCCAGAGUCAUUCUGCACCUGCUUAGCCUGUUACUGAACUGCCCCUUGCUGCUGACAAGGCUCCUCAUGUAUGGUUCCAUGAGCCACAGCAUUAAGGGGUAGGCAGAUUCUACACGGAUAACAAUGGGCAUUUCCACUUCACUUAAUGAGAUCUUCUGAUCCCCAUUUUCAGCUUCCCAAAAGAUUCAUGUACCAGGCACCUUUCCGGACCAGCCUGUGUUCAUGUCCAUGAAACGCCCACAGUGAGCCAAAAAUGCCUCUGAUGCCCCUUCUGGUCAAUGUACUCAGAGGCUAGGUGGUCAGGCCCACGAACUGGAAUAUGCAUGCCUUCUACAGUUUGAGAAGCCCAGCUGUGCAAAGUCAUCCACAAUUUCAUGCACAUUGCCCAGAGUUAUGGUCUUUUGGAGCAGGAUGCUAUUAAUGGCCCUGCACACUUCCAUCAGCACUAGUCCAACGGUCAACCUUCCCACUUGAAAAUGAUUAACAACUGAGCAAAAGCUGUUUGGAGUAGCCAGCUUUCAAAGUGCAAUUGUCAUGCACUUCUCCAUUGUAGGGCUGCUCUCAUUUGCGUAUCUUUGUGCUGCAAGGUGGGGGCAAGCUCAGCACACAAUCCCAUGAAAGUGGCUUUCUUCAUCCAAAAGCUCUGCAGCCACUGCUCAUCAUCUCAGGCGUGCACGAUGAUGUGAUCCUACCACUUAGUGCUUGUUUCCCCAAGCGCAAAAGCAACAUUCCACUGUGAUCAGCAUCUCUGUGAAUGCCACAAGCAAUCUUGUGUUGUAUGAAUGUUCUGGGAUUCCUCCUCAUCACUUUGAAACUUCAGGAAUAACUUGACUGCUAUUCACGAAGUGCUAGUGAAACCUAUCAGCAUUUUCAUCAACACCUGGGGAUCCAUUUCUGCAGAACGAGCAGGCAGAGCACACAGCACAGAAGCUGUUAAAAGAUGGCACAGAAGCCAAGAGGUUGCUAGGAUGCAAAGCAACGCACCAUAAAGCAUUGGGACAGGACCCAAGAUGCCCAUGCCUCCCCACAAACCUCUGUGGCAGAAGAGAUGCUCGAUGGGAUAGCUGCCCAGAAUGCACCACUCUGAAAGGCGCUGUAAGUGCCACAAGUGUUUUCAUGCUAACCCACUAGCAACACUGUAACUGAGUUUACUUCCUCUACUCUCAUUCUAACCUGUCCUCUUGUUUUUCCCCUUUCCAGCUUUGAUACAAUUCUCUUUAUAACUUUACAUCUCAAAAUAAGUGAGUAAAUCAUUCAAGAUAUAAAGUAAAAUUGUUUAUUCUAUGCAAUUUGAAAUUGUCAGUAUUUUACUUUCACUUUCUGUCCACCCCUUGCAAAGAAGGGGCAGAAUAUAAAACUGGUAAUGCACAGACCGACUUUCUUCCUAUCAUAAAGGUAAUACACAUUGUUUAGACGCUGCAUUUAUUACUAUAAAAUACUAGUAUAAUUCUGACAGUUAUUUUGUAUCGAUUUACAAAAAUGAACAAACUUCAAAAACAGAAAUAGAUUCUGAGAGAGGUGUAAUCGUUUUGGAGUCUAUACUAUUUUUUAUUCUAAGGUGCACUUGUUUUUAAAACAAAGAUCUCCAUAAAUAUACUUACAAUUAAAAACAUAUCAGAGCAGGUAGGCAUUUACAACAGAAAUGGUUUACAUAUUCCUCAAACAUUAUUUUAUGAAAUAUUACUUGAAAAAUUUGAAGUUAUAUAUCAGUUUUCUCGAUUCUACAUAAUGACACUAGAUCAGGGUGGGCAAUAAUUUUUGAUGUGGGGCCCCUCCAAGAAUUUCGAGAGUGGUCAAGGACUACAUGCUUACAUGAUAUUAAUGGAGAAGGUGUGGAGUCUGGGAUGAAGGUUGGGUACAGAAUGAAGUUUGCAGUAAGAGACUGGGAUGCAGGAGGGGACGUGAGAUCUGGGAGGGAGUUUGGAUGAAGGAGGCAGGUUGUGACCUCAGGCAGGGGCUAUGAGGGUAGGGCAGCAGGGAGUUGACACUUGGGAUAGAGAACUUGGGUGCAGGAAGCAGUGCAAGAAUUUGGGUUGUGACCUACAGCAGGAGGGUUUAGUGACCUGGGGCAG